AAACCGAACCGUGGCCACCCCUAGAGUGAACCCAUAGAGAGUGGGCCAAUAAUCUUCUCCAUCAGGGUGGCUACAGUAAGACAGAGUAGUAAAGCUGUGUUCUAAAUGAAAAUAAUUAGUUUAAAUUUUUGUUUAUUUUUGACUUAUUUAAAAUAAAAUUAUGCUUUUAGAAAUAGUCUAAUAUUUUUAUAAAUAUUAACUAAUUAUUACAAAAUAUGUAGUUAU
RNAcentral lists this unclassified non-coding RNA (225 nucleotides) under Hevea brasiliensis (rubber tree). The record is from RNAcentral. Lineage: Eukaryota; Viridiplantae; Streptophyta; Magnoliopsida; Malpighiales; Euphorbiaceae.